GGCCGCGUAGCGCAGUCGGUAGCGCUUUUUGUGUUCCCCCAAACAGGCCUAGGUUCAAACCCUCCAGAGGUAU
Molecule: non-coding RNA, 73 nt
Organism: Caenorhabditis brenneri
Lineage: Eukaryota; Metazoa; Nematoda; Chromadorea; Rhabditida; Rhabditidae
Source: the annotation of a GenBank genome assembly